ACGGAAGGCAGCAGUGGGGAAUAUUGCACAAUGGGCGGAAGCCUGAUGCAGCAACGCCGCGUGAGGGAAGACGGUUUUCGGAUUGUAAACCUCUGUCUUUGGUGACGAAGAAGUGACGGUAGCCAAGGAGGAAGCCACGGCUAACUACGUGCCAGCAGCCGCGGUAAUACGUAGGUGGCAAGCGUUAUCCGGAAUUACUGGGUGUAAAGGGAGCGCAGGCGGGAUAGCAAGUCAGCGGUGAAAAUUAUGGGCUUAACUCAUAAACUGCCGUUGAAACUGUUAUUCUUGAGUGGAGUAGAGGCAGGCGGAAUUCCGAGUGUAGCGGUGAAAUGCGUAGAUAUUCGGAGGAACACCAGUGGCGAAGGCGGCCUGCUGGGCUCUAACUGACGCUGAGGCUCGAAAGUGUGGGGAGCAAACAGGAUUAGAUACCCUGGUA
Molecule: ribosomal RNA, 436 nt
Filed under: uncultured Clostridium sp.
Lineage: Bacteria; Bacillati; Bacillota; Clostridia; Eubacteriales; Clostridiaceae
Description: partial 16S ribosomal RNA
Rfam family: Bacterial small subunit ribosomal RNA
Source: RNAcentral